Molecule: ribosomal RNA, 500 nt
Filed under: uncultured bacterium
Lineage: Bacteria
Description: partial 16S ribosomal RNA
Rfam family: Bacterial small subunit ribosomal RNA
Source: RNAcentral
AUUGAACGCUGGCGGCAUGCCUUACACAUGCAAGUCGAACGGCAGCACGGGAGCAAUCCUGGUGGCGAGUGGCGAGCGGGUGAGCAAUGUAUCGGAACGUGCCCAGUCGUGGGGGAUCACGUAGCGAAAGCUACUCUAAUACCGCACACGAUCUGGGGAUUAAAGUGGGGGCGCGUAAGUCCGCGCGCGAUUGGAGCGGCCGAUAUCAGAUUAGGCAGUUGGUGGGGUAAAGGCCUACCAAGCCGACGAUCUGUAGCUGGUCUGAGAGGACGACCAGCCACACUGGGACUGAGACACGGCCCAGACUCCUACGGGAGGCAGCAGUGGGGAAUUUUGGACAAUGGGCGCAAGCCUGAUCCAGCAAUGCCGCGUGCAGGAUGAAGGCCUUCGGGUUGUAAACUGCUUUUGUACGGAGCGAAAAGGCUCUCUCUAAUACAGGGGGCUCAUGACGGUACCGUAAGAAUAAGCACCGGCUAACUACGUGCCAGCCGCCGCAGUAA